Molecule: ribosomal RNA, 470 nt
Filed under: Veillonella dispar
Lineage: Bacteria; Bacillati; Bacillota; Negativicutes; Veillonellales; Veillonellaceae
Description: bacterial SSU rRNA
Rfam family: Bacterial small subunit ribosomal RNA
Source: RNAcentral
GACGAACGCUGGCGGCGUGCUUAACACAUGCAAGUCGAACGAAGAGCGAUGGAAGCUUGCUUCUAUCGCUCUUAGUGGCGAACGGGUGAGUAACGCGUAAUCAACCUGCCCUUCAGAGGGGGACAACAGUUGGAAACGACUGCUAAUACCGCAUACGAUCUAAUCUCGGCAUCGAGGAAAGAUGAAAGGUGGCCUCUAUUUAUAAGCUAUCACUGAAGGAGGGGAUUGCGUCUGAUUAGCUAGUUGGAGGGGUAACGGCCCACCAAGGCGAUGAUCAGUAGCCGGUCUGAGAGGAUGAACGGCCACAUUGGGACUGAGACACGGCCCAGACUCCUACGGGAGGCAGCAGUGGGGAAUCUUCCGCAAUGGACGAAAGUCUGACGGAGCAACGCCGCGUGAGUGAUGACGGCCUUCGGGUUGUAAAGCUCUGUUAAUCGGGACGAAAGGCCUUCUUGCGAAUAGUGAGAAGG